This 2722-nucleotide unclassified non-coding RNA is filed under the name Thrips palmi. RNAcentral describes it as "cytochrome P450 6a2-like, transcript variant X3". Lineage: Eukaryota; Metazoa; Arthropoda; Insecta; Thysanoptera; Thripidae. The record is from RNAcentral.
UGCAGUGUCCCGCCGGGCAGCACGACGCGAGGAAGCCUGCUGGUCCGUCCGCGACUCACACACUGUUCCAGGUGCGAACGCCAAACCCCGGUUGUUGCUGCCAUGCUGUCGUCGGUGGUAGCCCUGGUGCCGGCGCUGGGCGUCAUGGAGGUGCUGAUUGCCCUCGUGGUGCUACUCGUCGUGCGACAUUACUAUCGGACUGCGGGGUUCUGGUCGCGGAAAGGCGUGCCCUCCGCUCCGGGAGUUCCAAUCUUCGGAAGCUCCAUCCCAUUCGUACUUCAAAGUGAAUAUCGAGGCUACAGUAUGCAGCGCUUCUACAAGGACGCUCGAGCCAAGGAUCAACCGUGCGUUGGGCUAUUCAUCGGCUCGAGACCCGUUCUGCUGCUAACUGAUAUGGAUCUCAUCCGCGCGGUCAUGGUGAAGGACUUCUCGCACUUCAUGGACCGCGGACUGCCCUACGACCGCCAGGGGGAGCCGCUCACGGCCAACCUGUUCAACCUUGAGGGCGCCGAGUGGCGGUCGCUGCGCCACAAGUUGACGCCCACCUUCACGUCGGGCCGCAUGCGCGCCAUGUUCCCCCUGGUGAGCGCGUGCGCCGACGAGCUGCAGCACGUCCUGGCCGCCGAGGCCGCCGCGGGCAAGCCCGUCGAGAUGUUCGAGCUGCUGGCGCGCUUCACCACGGACGUCAUCGGCACCUGCGCCUUCGGCAUCCAGGCCAACGCGCUGAAGGACCCUCAAGCCGAGUUCCGCCUCAUGGGCAGGAAGGCCUUCGAGAUCCCCAAGAUGGCGAUGGCGUUCCUGCUGGUGGUGCCCCAGUUGCUUCCUUUCUUCAAGAAGGUUUUCUCAGUCCGUCUCAUCAACAAAAAAGUGGCCGACUUCUUCAACGGUGUAUUUCAAGAGACUAUACAGCACCGACAGAAGAACAACGUAUUGCGUCACGACUUCGUCGAUUUGCUGAUGCAAAUCAAGACUAAGGGCCAGUUGGCAGAGGAUGACGGCACCCUCAGAGCGGAAGCCGCAGGCGGCAUCGACGAGGACCUGCUGCCGGCGCAGGCCUUCGUCUUCUUCCUGGCGGGCUUCGAGACGUCCUCCAGUGCGCUGGGCAACCUCAUGACGGAGCUGGCGCACAACCCGGACGUGCAGGACAAGGCGCGCGCCGAGGUGGAGCGCGUGCUGGCCAAGCACGGCGGCAAGCUCACCUACGAGGCGCUCGGCGAGCUCACCUACAUGGACCGCGUCAUCGACGAGACGAUGCGGCUGUACCCCGCCGCUUCAAUCCUGUCCCGCGUCGUGACGGAGGACUACACGCUGCCGUUCCCGGGCAAGGACGGCAAGCCCGCGGUGCUGGAGAAGGGCCUCCAGGUCAUCAUCCCGACGUUCGCCCUGCACCGCGACCCGGAGUAUUUCCCGGAGCCCGACAAGUUCGACCCGGAGCGCUUCACGGAGGAGGCCAAGCGCAGUCGGCCGCACUACAGCUACAUACCGUUCGGAGAGGGCCCACGAGUUUGCAUCGGUCUGCGCUUCGCCAUGAUGCAGAUGAAGGCUGGUCUGUCCGCGAUACUCCUCAAGUUCCGCGUGCUGCCGGUGGAGGGAGCCAACGACUACCCGGCACAGUUCGAGCCUGUGUCCUUCGUGACCAAGACGAUCGGUGGCAACAAAGUGAUUCUGCAACCAGUGGAACAGAAAUCAUAACUCUGCAACCUGAAGAGAUUGACUUCGAACAGAACAGGCCGCACUGCUAACUCAUUGUGGACUUACCUGAUGAUGGGGCGCACGAUGUGUUCCAGAAACAUGUUCGCGGCCAAGUGUUUUAUUUCUGCUUGCUGGAGCUUCGUAGAGCAGAGGGUUUGAGGAGAAGUGCAUUGAUUGGCAAGUCAUCGCCCGGACUGAGCUGUGAGAGUUCUGAGAUGUAACACCAGAAGUACAGUUUUGUAAUUGCCAUGCUUAUUGGUUAGGCUACAUGAAGGGGGCGUAUUUAAUUUGUGAUUUAGAUUUAUCAAUUGUUAGUUAGUCUGUACGGCAGUAGGGUAAGUUCUUUAGUUGGAAGUCUGUCAUGAUUAUUCCUCAUAGCGCAAUAGGAUUCUGAUGUUUGAACCAACUGUCCGGGAAACCAUUGAAAUAAAAUCAUUUCCGUUUUGACAACUACAUCGUGUUUAUAAUUUAUUGAACAGCUCUUAAACACACGCUAAAUGUUCAUGCACAAUUUGGAACGUGGUGAUGCAUGAUUUAAAACCUGUGUACCACUGUACAUAAUGUUGUGCUCAUAUUUGCAUAAAUUUAUACAUUUCACGCAUAAUAAUAUGCAAAUUCCACGUACGCAAAAAAUCGUGCAAUCACUGCGAGAUAAAUGUUGAAAUAAUAAUGAAUAAACAAAAUGAUCUAAUUAUCUUUGAAAUUGGCAUAUUUGUCUGCGACAUUUGUCAUACUUGUUACCCGUGUACUUAAUCUCGUCAUUCAACUGUUCCCUCCUAGUCCUGUCUUUUGUUCCUUGUCAUGAGUCAGUCUGAAAUAAAAAUGAGACCAUGUGAAGCCUGUUUUGUCCCUUAUCCAAUUGAAUCCUGAAUCGUCGAUAAUUUAGAGUGCCAUCUGUUAAAUUUGUGAUUUAGCCUAUCAAUUCUUUAGUCCGUAAGGUAGUAGAGUAAGGUUCUUAGUUGUUAGCUGUUAGCUGUAAGUCUGUCUUCUCAAUUUCUCAUCACGCAAUAGUUUUCUCAUACUUGUAUCC